UGGUGGGUAGUUUGACUGGGGCGGUCUCCUCCUAAAGAGUAACGGAGGAGCACGAAGGUUGGCUAAUCCUGGUCGGACAUCAGGAGGUUAGUGCAAUGGCAUAAGCCAGCUUGACUGCGAGCGUGACGGCGCGAGCAGGUGCGAAAGCAGGUCAUAGUGAUCCGGUGGUUCUGAAUGGAAGGGCCAUCGCUCAACGGAUAAAAGGUACUCCGGGGAUAACAGGCUGAUACCGCCCAAGAGUUCAUAUCGACGGCGGUGUUUGGCACCUCGAUGUCGGCUCAUCACAUCCUGGGGCUGAAGUAGGUCCCAAGGGUAUGGCUGUUCGCCAUUUAAAGUGGUACGCGAGCUGGGUUUAGAACGUCGUGAGACAGUUCGGUCCCUAUCUGCCGUGGGCGCUGGAGAACUGAGGGGGGCUGCUCCUAGUACGAGAGGACCGGAGUGGACGCAUCACUGGUGUUCGGGUUGUCAUGCCAAUGGCACUGCCCGGUAGCUAAAUGCGGAAGAGAUAAGUGCUGAAAGCAUCUAAGCACGAAACUUGCCCCGAGAUGAGUUCUCCCUGAGACUUAGAGUCUCCUGAAGGAACGUUGAAGACGACGACGUUGAUAGGCCGGGUGUGUAAGCGC
This 623-nucleotide ribosomal RNA is filed under the name Salmonella enterica. RNAcentral's name for it is "partial 23S ribosomal RNA". It matches the Rfam family "Bacterial large subunit ribosomal RNA", at positions 2259 to 2876 of the family's 2925-position model. Lineage: Bacteria; Pseudomonadati; Pseudomonadota; Gammaproteobacteria; Enterobacterales; Enterobacteriaceae. RNAcentral also lists the same sequence under 1 other name. The record is from RNAcentral.